Molecule: long non-coding RNA, 1438 nt
Filed under: Anas platyrhynchos platyrhynchos (common mallard)
Lineage: Eukaryota; Metazoa; Chordata; Aves; Anseriformes; Anatidae
Description: lncRNA (ENSAPLG00000018356.1)
Source: RNAcentral
AGCAUCUAAAAGAAAAAGAGGCAUCCUGACCAAGACAUAGCACAUGUCAGUGAAUGGGAUGUUUCCAAAGACAAACGACACAAAACGAUGCAAGGGCGUGUUGGGCACCGCCAUCACGAGUGUAUUCCCAGUCUGGAGCAAGAGGUAGAUAUCUGAGUCCAGGAUGAAGAGCAGCAGCUCUCAGCUCUCAGACAAACCCAGCAGCAACAAAAGAAACCUCUCUCUAGACUUUCCCCUCACUCCUGUGGGAAGGAGAUAGAGUUGCUGCUCAGGAGUCAUUGCCUUCCACCACUCGAUAUCUUCUGGAGGUAAAACACAGCAGGGCCUCAGCAAGCCAGGAUGUUCCUUCAGAUAGAGUAAAAUGUAAAAUCAGAACCCUGGAGUUCAGGAAGGCAGUAUUUGCUUUCUUCACUGUGUGCACACCUAUCUUUGUGUCUGCCCAAAUAUACUUCAGGAUGCAUCCAGGAGUGUCUGUGAGUGCACCCAUGAAUUAAUGCAUCUUUUGACAUGAGCAGCAGUGUGCAUGAGUGCUGUUCCCUCCGCCCGCUUUUGAUGUCAUGAAUGAUAUCGGUAUGUGAUCAACGGUCACCCUGGGAAUUAACAGAAACAGUCAACAGCAUCCCUCCAAGGCUGAGAUGCGAUGACUGUGCAUGUUGCCCCAUGCUUCCUGAGCAGUCCUAAUGAGAGGUCAUCUGAGAAACCCUCCAGAGGAUCACAGGCUGCACCUCCAGCACGCACGUAGUCCAACCCUGUUUUCAGAGCGGGUCUCAUCAGAUCAGGUUGCUAAGGAUCAAGUCCAGGCAAAGUCUGAACUCUUCCAAGGAUGGAGCUCCAAUAGCAUCUCUUUGGCAAUAUGCUCCAGGACUUCAUCACCUUCAGGCAAAAAAUGAAAGGCAUCAAGUUAUGGGAGUGAAGAAGGAAUUCUCUAUGGACAGGAUCUGCACUGUGUGUCUUGGGAAAACCCACCCGGCUCUGUCCGAUGCUGGUAGAAGGCAGGAUCACCUGCUCAUGAAAGGUUUCCUUUCUGUGUACAUUCAUCUUGUUAUUCCUUCUAACUAAAACAGCCACUGACCUGUUGGGCCUUUCUUUUGUGACCCAGAAAGGGCCCUGCACAACCUCUCCCCCUUUACAGACACCCCUGGGUCAGAGCAGGAGGAGGCAAAACAGGCCAGCAGGUUUUCCCUGAGGGCAGUGUCAGCAGGGUUAGGGUCACAGACAGGAGCUGGGUCACCUGUAAUCAAAAGGGCCCCAGAGAGUCCCUAGGGAGUCACCCAGACUGACAACAUUUGUCUUUACUGGACUCUUCCAGCACGUGAGCUGAGUCUUCUGCCCACACUGACAUGUGUUGCCUGGAAAUACUUGGGCCUCCCUACCUGCCACUCAGGAGUUGCCUUCUUAGGGGAAAGGGCAUAAAGCAGGAAAUGAAAAGCAGCAUCAC